UAUCUCGGUUGAUGAAUUUGCAGGAAGACAUUGGUGCCAAGUGAUGGUCGGAGGAGCCUGAUGAUGGCGUUUUCUUCUUCUGAUUUGAUCGACCGCCAAGUACAGGUUGUUUGGUUUUAAUCUAAUUCUGGUAUAUGUUGUGCAGGUCAGAGAGAUGCAUUGAAGAGUGAAGAAGAAGAAGACGUAAGCAGACUGCUGAAGUUACUGUACGUGGGCUCCCAUCAUCUCCUCCAUUGCAAGAUUUGAAGGUCUGAUUGACAACGAAUGUUUUGCUGCAGCAUUUUGUUUUCUACUAUAACAAUGUCUUUGAUGGAUGCAACGACCAAACUGAUAUCGGUGGAGAUCUACACGAUGGAAGGGAUUACAAUCUUGGUCUUGAAGUCAUCGCCGCUGUGGAGUCCGGUUGGUGAGAACCCAACUGCGUCUGGCUAGGGAGAUUUUGGAAUUACUCCUGAACAGCUUUGUCAUAAUGUGGUCAAAGGAUCACAACAACAAGCAGCAAUAUGGACUGGCCUCAAGGAUUGUCAAAUUUGCUCAGAUACUACCAGAGAAAGGCAUCACUGGACCAUUUAUGGUUUCAGUAGCGUCUUAGCACUUGGGAUAAAAAAAACAGAGACGAUUUGUAUGAUGGAGGAAGCAUUGCAUUUGCAGUGAUUAUCUUGGUUGUUGUCGCAGCUGUCAGUGACUACAAAUAGCCUCUCCAGAACCUGAAUGAUUAAAAGUGAAACAUACAUCUGGAGGUGACAAGAGGUGGAAGACGAGUUAUGACAUUGUGAUACAGAUGAGUUUUUGCCAAUCCAGACAGUGUGCGAUUUUGCAACUCUUGUUGGGACAUAUGACGAGAGAAUGCCCCAUAUUCCAGAUCCUAUAUUGCAGCUGAACUGUCAUGAUGCGUCUCUGGCGAUCAAACCAGUGUUUGAUCGUUUCCAAUCAGUCGUGAUUACAUCAGGCACCUUGAGCGCAAUUGAUCUUUAUCCCCGUCUUCUUAGUUUCACUCCUGUUGUUAGUCGAAGCUUUAAGAUGUCAAUGACACGAGACUGCAUCUGCCCUGUGGUUCUAACUCGGGGAAGGUAAGUUCUACUCAAAUGAA
Non-coding RNA from Camelina sativa (false flax), 1090 nucleotides. NCBI's taxonomy places the organism in Eukaryota, Viridiplantae, Streptophyta, Magnoliopsida, Brassicales, Brassicaceae. The record is from RefSeq and is a predicted model, not a curated record.